UUACAGAAUUAGUUGUAUAUGAAAAUAGUUGUAUAUGAAAAUUUCAGAGGUAUUAUUAAUUUAUAUGCAUAGUAUUGAUAGUGAAUAUAUUGAGAUUUAGAACAAUAGUAGUAUAACUUAAGGACGAACAAAAGAACAGUCAUGUUAUUUGAAUAAUUUUCAGUAAGCAUUGUUCUCUCACGUUAACACUCAUGAAUGUAGGGUGAGCGUAAGCCUGUCCACUCGAAGGGACUCUUCAAAAUCAAGCUAAAAAGAGAUUUACGAAAGGGAGGAUUGGAAAGAGAGGUCAAGGACUGGGGCCCUGAUGAUGUUGCUGCUUGGCUGGAUGGAUUGCAUCUCACUGAGUAUAGGGAGUCAUUCAUUGGGCAUGACAUACGUGGAUCUGAACUGCUAAAUUUGGAGAGAAGAGAUCUCAAGGAACUCGGAAUUACAAAAAUCGGACACAUUAAGAGAAUCUUGCAAGGAAUCAGGGAAAUAAAAGACUCCAAAGCACAUGUAUAGGUGGAAUCAUAUCCAGGAAAUCUAUGCCAUUUGUAUAAAAUUUGAAGGUGAACAAGCAAAUGGUUGUUCAGAUGGCAGUACAGUAAAUGGGAUCAACACUUGCAAGGUUGUGUAUAAGGGGAUCACAUUUAGUUAAGGUAUUUUAUUUCUGUUUCCAUCUCUUAUUCUGAAGAUAUUUUUUACAUUGCUUUGUUGUAAUACCUAAGACUUGAUAUCUCACAUAGCAAGAAAUGGGAUUCUUUUUAUUUUGAUGAGCCAUUGUUAUGAAAUGAAGAGGCUUUAUUUUACAUUUUAUAUUUUUAUGAAUAUAAUGUACUGCUUAUAUCUACGUACUUUGUAUUAAAUGAAUGAGGAAUAAGCUUAUCUUUGGUGAUUUCUAGUGUAUGUCUAGUGCUUUUUUCCUCUGUUUCAAGUUCAGUACAGAGAAUAAUCUCCUUUUAUGAUAAAGAGAGGGGUGAGUGUGGAAAAAAGUGGCAAAGCAAUAGGAUGCUGAAAUUCAGUGCUAAUACUUGAAAAGUCAAGUAUAGUUGGUAUAAAAGCAAGGUAUUUUUUCAUAUAAUUUUGCAUUUUCUAGUCAUUAAGUUAAGCUUAUUUUGCUAUCAUAAAUUUUUGUUCAUAAUGAAUAGAAGUAAGUACCAGACGACAAGCAUAACUUGUAAUAGAUUUUAUUUAUUCGUGUGAGCACAGGUAAUUAAUAUAUAGGCACCUGCAAAAUAAUUCAAACGUAACCCCAUUUAAUGGUGAAAUAUGCGUUAUAAUUUUUGUUUUGUGAUGUAUGUAUGUAUAUUGUAUGUAUAUCUUUUCAGAAGCAUUUGCUCUUGUCCCCCUCGGGUAGGAUGGUACCAGGUACAAUAUUGCCCAUCUAGUUUCAAAAAACCCUUUUGGGAUGAGAUGGUGUCUUGCUUUUUUUGAUGGUUGCCUAACCAGCUACUGAUCACACUUAGUGCAAUGUGUGUGUGUAUGUGUAUUUGUGCGUAUAUGUAUUAUGUUCCCAGAUUCACCUUUCUUUUGUCAUAUAUUAGACAGAAAAAGAAUGGUAGUCUCAUGAUCUAUGCACCACCUAUACCCUUGAGUAUGUAUUGGACUGACUCACUUUUUUUUUAUUCUGUAUGUCAUCUAGGCAGGAUAAUUUUUUAAAUUCUAACCAUACUUUUAUUCAUUAGCUUAUUCAUCUUCCUCUUCCAUCCUCUUUCAUGUCUUUCCUUAAAAUUAGUACUCUUAGCAGCUAUGUAUGUACUUACAUGUUGCUGGUGCCAACUUCUGGAUCAUUGGCUUCGUGGCACAAAUGUGUUAGUUACUUAGUCAUUUAUCUUGGUAAUUUCUCCUGUUUUCAUUUGUUAGUAAUAUUCUAAGGUUUAUUUCACUACUUUUUUCUGAAGCUUUUAUGUUGGAUUUUUAGUGUUUAGUGCUAUUCAAACUAGCUACUUGAUACAUAACUAGUUAGAGCCUGGUUUUCAUUCUUGCUAUCCUCUGAUACUUUACUAUGUUAUUAGUUAAGAGCAAAAGAGAAAGCGAUGGUCCUUGGUGGAGUUUUCUGUGAUGUUUCUUUGUCACCUGUUAGGAUGUUUUUUUAUUUAGUAAUAAAUUUUACUUAUGCUUUUUGUAAGAGUAUCAGUUGUGUAUUUUUUUUUUAUUUUGCCUUAAUUAUUCCCUAAUAUGCAUGUCAUAUUUUCAUCUGGUAUGUGCCAGUCCCUUCAUUACUUACUAUAUCCUGUUUACCAGAAUUUUCAUGUAAACUAAAUUCUGGAUGCUGUGUAUGGUACAGGCUUUUUUUUUUGCCUUCUAAUUUUUGUACCUAUCAGUAGAGUUGAGGUUUUUUCUGUAUGCGUUGUGUUUUUUAGCAAUGCGUUAACAGACUUUCAGAGGUCUUCCAGAGAAGGCCUGGUGUGCCUGUGUCAUUUUUUGAUGAGGACCUAGACCUCAUGUACAGUAGCUGCUGUACUAGUUCUGUUAGUCUAGCCUCCCCUGAUAUGUGCUCUGAAUGGACUUCUUUUCUUACUAACAUCUAAAUCUCAAUAAAUGGUGAGUUCCUUCAUGUUCCAAUCCAGGACAUACUUAUCAGGUACAAUUGCCUUGCUUUACACUUACAUGGUUUGUGAGCCAACCACCUUUCUGUGAUUCAUAAAAGUCUCCUAAUGCUCUCUUGGUUUCUACAGGUAUAGUCUGUACAAACACUCUUGGCAUAUUCAGCAACAAAGUCUUCCCCCCAGAAGUAGAUUCUUGCUUGGGAUUGUGAUAAAACAGACUUGCUUUUUAUUUAAAACCCAUCAAUUAUACGAUGAUUUCCAUCCUUCCAGCCCAACUGUUUUGCAACCUCAUUUACAGACUAUUCAUGAAGUGUAGUCUGAUGGUAGGUGAGGAUCUAGGUGAUGCAUUUAUCUGGAGAUUACCUUUCUUCUCAAGUCUGUGAGACAGACUUGAAUCUGGGACAUGCAAUGAAAAAUAUAUGGUUGAUGGGUUUGUAUAAAGACUCAGUUAUAUUAUAAAAAAUUUUCUUCUUCUUCUUCUUCUUCUUCUUCUUCUUGCUAAUUUGGGUCCUGUUCUUAAUGAGCCACCUCAAGCUGUGUAUACUGUCUUGAAUAGUGCAUUUCAUAGUAGGUUUUGGCAGAUAUUUUUUUACUGACAAAUUUGACAAAUGCCCUUACUGACUCCAAGUUCCUUAGAGACUUGCUUUGAUCUAGAUCCAAAGAUGUGAGAAAUAAUAAAAAGAAGGUGAAUGAUAGGCCCCAAUUAUUUAGAAAGUGAUAGACUUCUUUUUAAAAGAAAAACCUGCUAAUCCUAAAAAAAAUUAGUAGGAAGAAUUCUAAAGCUUGGCUGUAGAAGGAGAAAACUGUAACUGAGUUGUACAGUCUGAGGAUUACUGAUUUUUACAGAAUGUGCUGACAAGAAGAUGGACUGAAAGGGAUACCUGAAAGCCAGAGGAUUUCUUGGUCCUGAAUUUAACAGUUACUAAAAUAGUACAUAUGAAAAAAAAAGAGAGAAGUCAUAAUUUGGAAGAGAUAUUGUUGAGAUAUUGGGUAACAUCGUAAUUGGUUUCCAAAGGAUGAUAGAAGUAGUACUCCACACAGGGAGAAAAUAGUCCAACUAAAAGCAUUAAUAACAUCAGAUGACAAUUGAAUUGAAGACAUCUCAGAAAUAUGCCAAAUUAUUUUGCAGAAGUAUCCUUUUGAACCAUAUGGUAUGUAAAAUGCAAAUUUUAAAUCUCUGAACAUGUAACAUUGAAGUGAUAGCCUUGGUUAAAUUUCCAUUAUCAGUAAUUGGGGAACACGAUGGGAAAGAAGACAAAUUAGAAGAAAUUGUCUUGGAGGUAUUGAAUUUAACUUAAGUUACGGAAUCCCCAGUUAGGUAAAGAAAAGAAAUAAUAAAGUUCAAACAUUUGAAGAUCAACUUAAAAUCCAGAUUGGUCAGUGAAUACAGGUACUAGGCUUUUAUAUCUUGAGCCAAAUUCCAUUCAGCUUGCUCAUUUGGCACUCAUUUUUUUCACUGCCCUGGUGCCUUACCAAAAUAAAUCAAGUAAUUGAUUUUAGACCAACUUUAAAAGAACUGUAGUGUCUAGCUUGCAGGACAACAGAAACAAAUGCACCAUCAAUUGUAGGUAUUAUUUCUUGAAUGACCUGCUGACAUUAGUUUUCCUGAGAGCCACUAUUUGGUACACAGAUGCCACUCUUUGAUCUGGCAUUGGAUCUUGGGGCCAUUAAUUCCAUGCAUGAACUUUGUCAUUCACAUAGUAGUAAAACCUUAAUUAUUUGGGUUGUAGAGUCCCCUCAAGAGCAAUUCAACAUCUGGGUUUCAGCAGUGUUUUUCAAUACACUUGUGUGUCAUAAAAACAGACAUCCCCUAAUGUGCAAAUUUAGGACCUUUUUAGCAGUCAGGGCUAUGUUCGAUACAUGGUAGAGAAUGAUAGUAUCUGCAUCACAACUUCCCUCACUUGCUAUGGCAUUUACUAGCUUCAAGUAACAACUGUCAACAGCAAGGGCAAAAUUCACAUCUAUCCAAAAAUAUUUUGGGGCCAUGGGAGACAUUAUGAUUACUUUAAUUUAUCAUUGCACUGAGAGAGGCACCUACCUGAGUUUUAUUUUUGAUCAGAUAUUCUGAACACUUGGGACAAUGUGCAAUUGCAUUCAUGUAUUUAAUAUAAUUGUUUCCUUAAAACAGUUAUUUACAGAAGCUCCUUCUCUUCUGGCAUAGCUUAUUAAUUGAGAAUUAUCAAAGCAUACAAAAUUAUUAACCCAGUUCAGGAAGACUGAUGUUUCAUCUCUUGUAUAUUAGUAACCAGAAACAUUACAACUUUUACUGUUUGCCAUUUUCCUUUUCAAAGGGCUUUCCUCACCCAUGGAAAAAGUCAGGGUUGUAUAAGUAUUUGAUGUAAUGACUAGUUCCAAAACAUCCCAACCCUCUGUACCACUGAAAGUGCCAGUCCGGCACCAGGAGCUAGCAGUGCUUUUAACUCCAUGUUUACAGGUUAUCCAAGGCAAUGUUUUCGACAUUUAUCCCACCAAGAGGCUACUCACCCAAUGUGCUCUACACUGUUCUUUCCUAGGCAAAUUGAGCAAUCUUCAGUGGUUGGUGAUAUAUGUACAUUGUAUCAUUUGGUAUCAUUAUUCUUUCUGUUGCGUGCAGUGUGUUAAAGUUUAUGAAUCAGCAUUCCUUCUUGCAAGGUCCUUUCCCCAAGUUAGAUACUCCUCUUGUAGUAAGUAGCCUUUUUAGUUCUCAUUAAAGCUUGUGGAGUCUUAUUAUAAGAUUUUGUACCUAGAGUAUCUACAUAAGGAUUUUUUGCAUCUGCAAAGUGAACAAGUGAACUUCACAGUCGUUUUAAGAGUAACCUGUACAUUGUAUGAGGAAACCAGUUUGUCUCUCUCAUGGCCCUUACUAUACAUCAGAAAUUAUUUUAAAUAGUGAUGGUUUUGUCUUGAGACUCUCUGAAAUCUUAUCUUAUCUCUAACUCCAAGGAAAACCUGAAGAGAAAUUUUCAUCUUAUCAGAAGAUCAACAAUGUUGCUCAUCUCUACCGGUGCCCUAUGUGAUCAGUCCCCAGAAACUACAGUGUGCAGUAAAUGUGUGAUAGCUUAUUUUUGGAGCUUUCUUGUUCAUUUUUGGAGCUAUCUUGUCUUUCUUUGAAGAGAUACACUUUGACAGAUGCAAGUGUUCAUAUGAUACAGCACUUGUGCCGUCAUUCUUUUUUAAUGUAUCAAGUAGUUCACAGUUCUUUGCAUGACAAAUCCACCAUUCCUUUCAUGCAAAUUUGAUAUAUCAGAUGACAAAGAAUGUGGACUUGCAUUAAAACACUAGUUCCUCCCCCAUUUUUUAAUGGAGUGUAUCUUCUUUAGUGAAUUUUGCUGGUAUUCUGCUUCAGUUUCCAUCAGUUUAAAUGUUCGCUAAUUUUUCCAUCUGUAACAAAUAAAACCAUAUGUAAAUUGUUGAUAUAUCUACCGUAUUAAGAAAUAUCUUGAUGGUAUUAAAAGGUUCACACUACCCUUCAACUUCUAUGCAUAUUACAUGUUAGACUAUAUGUAUUUAUGGACCUCUUGAAAAUUCUGUAGGCAGCUCUUCAAUAUACUGGGAUAUUGAGCACAUAUUAUAAAAUUUUGGAGUUCUGAAGUGAGAAUAGUAACUGGCUCUGAUGGUUAUCUUUAUUACUGUGAUUAAAAGCCUCUUCUUUUACUCAGGUUCAUUUUGUCUACUUAUUUGAUUGUUCAAAACUUUUAGAAUUCAUCAUAUGAAAUUUUAUGCCUUCAUGGUAGAAAGAAAAACUUGUAUUGAGUUCUUGUUAUACCUGAAUAUGGUAAGCUAUUUUUUUAAGAACUUUCAAAAUCUGUGGUAUGGUUAGACAGUGAAGAUAUGUUACUAUAGAUAUUAUAGUGAGCGACAUGGCAAGUGCUGUUUGUCUGUUAUUGGCCGUAAGAGUCAGUGCCAAUGGUGAUUGCAGUUAAGAACAAUGUCAUUUGUAAAGGACAUGUUUGUUCUUGUGCUAUGAAAUGUGAUAUCUUAUAGGAGCUUUUCUUGUAUGGGAAAAUUUGCUAUAUUGAUGAUACCAGAUCAGUAGGAAGGCAGUGUCCUCACAGUCUAAAGAAGUCAACUGUUUAGAAUAAUCCCAGCAUUACAGGUUAAGCUGUCUGAGGUCCUGAAAAUGAAUGUGAAAUGAUUGAACAAUUUGUGGCAGGUAACAGUAGACAGACACAGCACUUAAAGGACCAUUUUAUAGGCUUCAUCAGUGCCUCCCAGGAAGGGAGGCUGUGGUUAAUGCUGGCUGCCUGUUGCCUGCUUAAAGUUUAUGAAUUAUAACCAUUUUCAUGUAAUUAUUUUCAGUUUUCUUGUAAUUUUUACAUGACCAGUUUACCUCAUCAUAAAUUUACUGAUAAAUUAGUUUUAAUUGACUUACUAGGUAAGCUCUUCAGUGGGAAGCUGUAUGAAUGUGUAUAUAAUAACUCAGUAUUAAGAACUUCUGUGAUGCUAGAAUUCUUACAGUGUUCGACAAAUUAAGUCUAUUACCACUGUUGCCUUUUAUAAAGAUUUCAAAGGAAUAUGUUAUGACUGGUUCCCAUUCAUUAAAAAAAGGAGCUUGCUUGUUAGUAAGGUUAUGUAAAAAAGAAAAAAAAAGGAAAUAUGGAGAAAUGAAGUGAUUUACUUGUUCCAUAGAACAAUUGAUUACAAUUUAGAUUAGAUCUGAGCCUCGAUGUAAAUCCAGGAUUGUUUUGUAAGAAUAGACAAGCUUCCUGCAGGUUGAGGGAGAAUGUACGAAUAAUAUACAUUUUGAGUAAAUGUUUCAGUUGCAUAAUAAUAUUUAUGAAAGAACACUGAAAUGAUGCAAAAUAUCUGGGUAGCAAUGUCAGUUAUUAAUCAUUAAUUUCUUGAUGGUUUGUCAGUAGCUUUUGAAACCAGGGACUCGAUUUAUAAGUCUGUUUCUUGUGGAAACGACAUUAUUUUAAAUUUAACAGCCUAGCUGAUAAUUUUAUCACAGCACCUAAUAAUAUAUAACCCUUGAAGCACUACGUAAUCAUUAAAUUCAUUGAAUAUAUGCCUGAUGGCAGUGUUGAAAAUGGUUAAGCAUUUGUGAUUGAAAUGCAUUUGCUCUGGUUGAUGUUUGCCAUAUCUAUUUGCCCUUUCUAGUUGUUUGCUUGCUUGUUUUUUCCUCUGCUAAAGAAAUUAUAGCAGAAUUUUCAUUACUUUUGGUACUGUUUCUGUUAUUGUUUUAGUAUUGAAUUGUGGCAGUAUUUUAGAUCAACAGAUUCAUGAUGUGUUUGGGGUUCUAGAAAAAGCUUUCAGUUGGUAGGUUGAUUCUGAUUUUCUUCAUCACAUCUUAUCUUUUUCUCAUUGGUAAAUUUACUUGUUUAUGUUUUGUCAGUGGUUUUGAUUAGUUAAUCAGAUGCUAAAAUGAUGAGGAUUAGAGAUUGGGAAAUGUUUCAAGAAAAAUAUUUUCCUUCUAAAAAGGACAUUUCUUUGAUUUUGUAGUAACCAUUAAUCAGUCAUCUUUCUUUGUACCAAAGUGAUAUGCUCUGGUGAAUCAGUUAGAUAGCUUUACUGAACUUGAAGGUUUAAUUUUCACACUUCGUUAUUUUACUUAUUGGUUGGUAUGGUGUUGGCGUCCCACCUCGGUGGUCGCGGGUUCGAUUCUCAGCCAUUCCAUUGAGGAGUGAGAGAUGUGUAUUUCUGGUGGUAGAAGUUCUUUCUCGAUAUGGUUCGGAAGUCACAUAAAGCCAUUGGUCCCGUUGCAUGGAACCACUGGUUCCAUGCCACGUAAAAGCACCAUACAGACAAACAAAAAGGGUAUGCUAUAUGUGUUUGUAAACUAAUCCAUUUUUAUUAGCAAGAUAUGAAAGAUUCUUGCCCUUAAUACCUGGUCGGUGACCAGCUUCCACCUCACGUACGCAUGAGUUGUCAGAUGCCACAGAUUCCUUACUUUACAAUUGAUUAAAAAUUUGUCAUUUUUAACCAGUUUCCAGCUUUUACAAGAAGAUUAUCCUAUUGUUAAGACCGAAAGUUUGUUAGCUAUGAAAAACAAAUUGAUUAAAACUUUUAUGUUGAUUUGUGUUUCUCAAAGAUAGCAUUGAUACUGAUUCUCUGAAAAUUGUUUGUGCCUUUUUAUGUUAUUGUUGGUUGUAAACAUCUCUCCAACUAAUGUUACCAUUUCAAUCACAAGGUCAUCAUUGGUUCUCUCUGUCCCAAAGCCAGGGCUGUGAAGAAUGAUUUCCAUUUAUUCACUGUCUGUGAUGUUGCUAUUCAAGAUAUGAUGCUAAUGCUGAUAACAUUUUCAAGAAAAAUUCUUGUAUUUUAUUGUACUUUACUGUAUUUUGUUCUUAAAUAUUGAUCAAACACAAGAAAAUGUCAAACUGGUAUGCUGAAAAAUGACAAAUCUGAUGCAUUAUGGCAUUAUAAGUGACUCAGGGGUUAGAUUUUGGAUAACUGUCAUCCCAAAGGGUAAAUUUGUGAAACUGUGCAAGUGACCUUGCAGAAUUUGCAAUGGUGUAAAGAAACCAUUUGCUCUGGUUUUCCAUGUGUUGGAAUAGGAGCAAAUAGUUCAUAAAAAGUGGCAGUGGUAAUUAGGUUAACAAGAAAAAUUUUAUAUGUAAAUGUGAGUAGGGACUUCAGAUUGACUAAGCAUCCUGAAUUCGUUCUUGUUUGUAUUCUGUUUAUUCCAUUCUAAUGUUGUCUUUCAUUUGUGAAUGUACUUACUGUAGAAAGUGGUUGUACCUGUUAUUUAUUUGAAAUGUCAUUUAAGCACACAUCUUUACAGUCGAAUGUUAUUUAGGCUUAAUGAAGUUUUUUCUUGAGGUCAUAUAAAUAGGCUAUAAUCGUAAUAUAAAAUUUUUUUUACUGUAGUUCUGACUGUUAGUAUUGAAUGAUUUGUCAGUUUGAAGAUUUAUUCCUGUGAAUCCCACUUUCUAGCGUAAUAAUAAAAAUCUACCUCUAGUUUUGGACCACUGUUAAGUCACAGUCAAAACCACUGUUCUAAGGACCUUUAAAUGAAUCACUACAGAUUAUGCUGUAUUUUCCAUGUAGUCACAAUUUCUAUUUACUGUAAUUAAGUUUAAACAAUUUAGUGUUUUGUAGUUGUUUAAUGGCAUGCAAACAGGAUAGUACAUCUCUGUGAUACAUCACUGAUUGUUUUUCAAUUUAUUUCAUGUUCGGUGUCUUCAAAUGAUGUGAAAAAUGCUGUACAAGUUCUUGAAGAACUCUCAGGUUAACUAUUAGUAUUAUGAAUAUUGAAGGUUAGAGAAGUGACAGGAAGCUGGUGAUAUGGUCUUGUGCUACAUUAAGUUAAUAAACGCAGUGAUUCCAGUUUUGGAGAUGAGGACUGUAGUGAUACUUCACAAGAGUAUAGUGUAAUUUAGAUCUCACAUGACAAAAAUGUACAAAGGUCACCAUUAUUAUAUUUUAUUUUAAUAUGCAUAAUUUUUCAUGGGGAAAGCCAAAAGGUUAUUAGAUUUAAACAACUAUCCUUUACUAAAAUUGAAUUCACAGAAGACUAAAGAUAAAUUGUGAAUAAAUAACUAGCAGCUAAAGUACAGGAUGUAUACUAUACCAUGGGAGCAUGGCACUUUUCCAUUGUUGUCAGGAAAACAUUUCCAGAAUUAUACUAUAAAGGGAACAAAAGAUAUUAUAGGAAAGUGUAACUUCACAGCAGCUCAGCAGAAUGGCAAUGUUUGGUAUGCUACCUAAUGCGUAGUACACUCUGACUCAGGAAGUUAAAAAUUAAGUGGUAAACCAGAAGUCUGGAUAUAAAAAAUCUUUCAAAAGAUGGAAAAACAUGAAACCAGAUUAUCUAAAUCUUUAAUAUAGUUUUGAGGAAAAGAUUAAACAAUAAUUUUAAGUGAUUUCAGGAUGUUCAUGACAUCAACACACACAGUUGACUAAUGGUAGGACCAACAGUCUGAAUGAUACAGUACUGGUAUCAAAACCUUGCUAACAGUGUUAAACAUUAUAGUUACAUUUAGGUUAUUUAAGUGCUGUGAAAUAUUAUUAUUACAGUGGUCCCUCCAGAUUUGCGGGGGAUGCAUACUAGACCCCUUGUGAAUAGUUAGAACCCGCGAAUAGUUGGAACCCCUAUAAAAAACGCCAAAAACAGCCUAUUUUGUUAGUUAAAACUCAAGAAAAACCCACCAAAAAUUUUUAUACUUUUAUCACAAAAAGUGCAUUUAUGAUGAAAUUGAUAAAAAAAAACAAGAAUUUGAGGAUAUUUCUUAGAAAAAUACCGUGAAUAUACUAAUUUUCCGUGAAUAAUGUGGGGAAAAGUUCCCGAGAGAAAUCCCUGAAUGUGUGAGUCCGCAAAUCUGGAGAACGCGAAUACGGGGGGUCCACUGUAUUAUUAAUUAGGUAGUUUAACCAGACGACCAAGUUGAAAUAAGUGCUGUGAAAAGUAAGCUAUUAGUUGGAGUUAACACCUUGAAUUGUCAAGUAGUACAGUAAUCAAUGUCAUAAAUACAGUAUUACGUAAGACCAAAGAACUCGCUGGAGGACUUGUUUAACUAGGUUACAUUAUUAAGUAGCAGGUUCCAAAUCUGGUAGAACAUACAUCUUUGAUACUUAGAUUUUAAUUUGGGGGAGUGAAAACAGCAUCAUGUUGUGUAUCUGCAGUACUAACAGUUGCUUUAAAAUCUGUAUAGUAGAUCAAGUACCGUGCUUUACUAUUCAAACCAUAAAGAUAAAUUUUUGCAGUGAUUGCCACAAAUUUAACAAUUCAGAGAUAACAUGAACUUAGUUGGGGGUGGCAAAGCACGCUUCAGUUUUGAAGGUUACCUUGGAUAAAGUGCCGUAGAUCAGAUAGCAAGCAAAUAUAAAGAGCAAACAAACUUAAUUUUGUCUUCUAUUCACUUGGGCUGACAGAAAUGGAUUGUUUGGAUGUCAUGUACUUGAAAAUCAACUUUUCAGAAACUUGAAAGAGCAUAAUAAAGAUAGAAACUGGAUAGCAGUGAUUGAGCUUUGGUCUUUUGGUAUCGGCAUUAGGUUUUAUAGUACGUAAUAGCCACAGAACUGAAAGAUUGAGUCAUAUAAAUGAAAGAAAUCAUAAAACGUACUGAGUUGUGAAAAGCUACCCUAUAUAAGGAAGGGAAAAACUGAAUAUGAAGAAGACUGAAUUGUGAAAAGAAUGCUGAAAAUUUGUUUUUAGUUAAUAAUAAGGACAAGGUAUUUGGAAACUCCUCAGGACCAAAGAUGUUCAGUUGUAUGGAGUUCUUUUCAUGUCCAAGGAGAAAAAGGAAAAUUUAGCAAAAAGAAUUGCAGCAUUACAGUUAGUAAGACUGUUUUGCCAUAAAAGUUUGGAAGAUUUUACAAAUUUUUGAAAACUGAAGAUGAAUAAUUUCUUUUGGUUUAGUGUUUUAGAUUACAAGAUUACAGUAUUAUUGCCUCUCAUACCCAGUCUGUAAACAAAUUCAUUUGAUUCACAGUGACUUGUGACAUUUUAACUUGUUAAAAGGCAGAUGGUGUUGAGAUUUGUUCUUUCAUUAGAGGUCAUUGUAGUGCCCUCCAUCAUCACAUUAAAAGACUUUUUUUAUGAGUUGCAUCAGAAAGUACAGUACUCCCCAUCAUAUGAAGAACUGUAGUAGACAUGAUUUAUAUUUGACUGUAAAAUGUAAUAUGAAAGUAAUAUAAAGUAUUUUGUUUCUAUGGCAGAUAGAACUAAAGCUAUUUACAAAGAUGCUUAAAGUUUGUAAGGUAUCCAUUGGCAUAGUAUUUGUAUCAAAGCUUUUUCCUUUAAUGUUAGACACUUAAACUGUAAGUGAUUUUAUAUUUAAUGAAACACUUAAAAAAUAAGAAAAACCUGCUUGUUAGAUAUGUGAAAUAAUGAUGUAGCUUUGCUGCUAGCUUUGUUUUUAUAAAGAAAAACUGUAAGCAAUAAGUCAUUAAUCUCUGUAUUAAAACAGGUAAUUUUAAGAAGGCUUUCUUGCUGUCAAGCAUUUUCGUUUUUUCAAUAGAAUGUUUCUCUCAGUUACCAAAACUUUUCCAAGACUAAUCACUGAAAAUUUAUUCAAAUAACACUUACAUUUUUCAUUUGAUUUUCUUAUGAUUAGUCUUGAAUUUAGGAAGGUUCUAUCCUCCAUUAAUAGAAAGGCUACUUUCAAAGAGUUACUUCAGUCAUUUCUUGGAAUUCAAUUUUUCUUUUUAGACACAGCUUUAUUGCAAAGGUAUUCUUGAAUUUAUCUGUUUUUCAUCCUUAAGCACAAAGAUUUUCCUAGAAGCUUUCAUUGUAACUAUUACCAUGGGAUUUAAGAUUAAACUAAUGCUUAAGGUGUGCAGUCUAUAGGCCAAAGUAUUGUGUGUUAACCUGUUCUUUAUUCUCUCUAAUUUUGCUCUUUGUCUUCCAUUGAAAAAUGUUGAAAACUAUCAUUUGAAGACUGGGAAUAGGAACUUUAAUAUUAUUAAACAUUUGUUUUAUUUAUUGUUCCAUUUAAAUUAACUGCCAUACAUUAGACUAAAACCUCUUUACAGCAACAGUUAUGGAGUUGAGGCUGGGUCGUUAAAAUAGAAGUGUUCAUUUUCUAGUGAAUUCUCUCUCACUUGAUCUCUCUUAUUUUAAAGCACAACUUUAUAUAGGAAAUAUCUUAAUCUCAUAUUUUCAUCACACAUUGAUUGUUUAGGUUAUCCCUUUUUGUUGCUGUAACAGUCAUGAACAUUUUAAUUUCAUGUAAAUAACAAAAAGGAAAUGUCUGUUAGCCAAUAGUCUUGCGUGCUCAUAAGCAGACAAACUAGUCUGAGUUGACUCCUUUCCACAUUCUUUGCUUAUGUGGGUAAAACUUUAUAGCUCAUUCUUUGGGUUCUUAGAUGCUCUUAGUUAUUUCAUGCUGGAGAAUUUUAAGCAUAAUCAUAUUUUAUUCAUUUGAUGGGAUACUUUUUCUUAGUUUUCCAAUUAAUGUUUGGCAUUUUGCGGGAAGUUUGAUUAAAAGUAUUUUAAAAUUACUAACACAAUUUUUUCUUGGUAUCCCAUGGAACUAUCAGUUGAUGUUUUAAUUAUUUAUUGUUCUUGUACAUAUUGUGGAACUGAUGUUCUUUGCAGUACUGCAUGUUUUUUACUUAUUUCUUAUUACUUUAUGCAGUUAUAAAUUAUUGGACACAAUAUUUACACUGAAACAUGUGAAAUAUGUUUAAACACACACUAACAUGUACACACUUGUUAACAAUGAUUUCAGCGAGAGAAAGAGAGAGAGAGACUGUUAAAUAGUGGUGUUGGAGAUGCUUCUUGGUCUGAGCAAGGUCACUGUAUAAUUAAUUUCAUCAUGUCUGAGUUUGCCAUAUAUUGAGAUUUUAGUGUAAGUACGUACAUGGUAUACUAGAUGAUUUUGCAACUUAGCUUCACUAGUGCAUCAGUGUUUUGGAAGGUGUUUGUCCUGUAAAUGACUGUUCCUCUUCAUAUCUUUCUUUUGCUUGAAUAGAGAACUGUUGUUUAUUAACCUUAAGUUAAGUUAGCCAUUUGUUGGAACUGUGAUUAUUCCUUAAAAGAAUUAUUCUUCAAUUCACCAGUUUAGCUCUCACUUAUUUUGUAUUUGUGCCAAAAUUAGAAAAGUGGAUCUUUAAAUGCUGAAAUUAUAUGCUAGUUCAAGUGAAUAAAACCCUCAUCCGUAGUUGCUUUAAUUUUGUGAGUGACAUUUGUACUGUUUUUUUCUUCCUUUGACAUUGUUACUUCAUCAUCUCAGACUGCUUUUAUAUAAUGGUUCUUCUGUAGGUUAAUCCUGUUAAUUAUAAGCAUCUCUAUGUAGUUGAAAACUAAAGACAGUUCAAAGGGUUUUAGAGUAGAUAAUAUAUGAAAGGUGUGUAAGUGGAUUCCAAACUUUGUACUUUGAGAAAGCCUAAAUGCCAAGUUGGAUAAGCAAAACAAGUUGUAAAUUAAUGUUUAAACAAGUGAAACAGUACAACUUUUAGGAGGGUAAGACUAAAUAGGUUAUAGUAUCAGGUGAUGUCCAGUGUCAGCACAAGAUGGGAUGGAAGUAAGUAACAUGUAUUACACCAAUUUUUACCUAAAAUUCUGAAUAAGUGGGAUUAAUGUUCAGGCUCAACUGCUUUUGCUUUUCUGGUUAGGUGGUCUUGUCCCCUCUGGUGCUUAAGCAAGCAAUACAUGACUUGCCUUCAAGAAAAUAUAUGAUGAAUUUUUCCACAGCUGUGAAGUGAGGAUUACUAUGGUGAGAUCCUCCAAUUUUUAUCUAUGAUAUAGUGCAAAUAUAUUUUGAUGAACUGACAGUUUGUGUCUGCUUUUACUCUCUUCUCCAUUUUUUCAACUCUAUUUAGGAACUACUUCAGGUGGUUGACAUAUUGCUUAGGUCAGUAUGGCAUAAUGGUUUUAGUGGAGUGUUGACUGAUAACUGCCUCACCUGGGUUUCAAGCCUAGUCUCUCUUGCUGGUGGGUACACUAUUGAGAGAGAUGAAGGAGCAGUUAGUUCUAGCAUAAAGAAUACUAACAUAAAGACAAAGAGUUGGUCAGGGUCAUUUUACCAGGAUCCAGCCUGAAUAUCACAUUCAGGACAAAGUUGGAUGGUCAGGUCGGACUCUGUCAAGACAAGACAUUCAUCAUAGGCCUGAUCAUAAAAGGACAGUUGUAUUCAGGACACAUUUUUAUAUGUUGAGUAUCACCAUAAACAAGAUGUGAGUAUACUGCUUGUAGAUCCCAGAUCCAACAGUGUGGAUGAUAAACAGUUUUUUAACCUUUGGGGCAAGUGGGAAUAUUAAGUGUAAGAGAUGUAUUUUGUGAUUCAUAUGAACCAAUCAAAAUUAUAAGAUUUACUCGGGUUCUCUUUCACAUAAGCUUUCUAUUAGCUCCUGGGGCAGAGUCGGAGAAUGAGUCUGAUGGUUCUUCCAACUGAAAUUGUACUUGUUAAUUGUUCUAACUGUUGACUGAACACUGUUUGUUUGUCCAACUGCUUAAGGCUUCAGUAAAAAAGAAAUUUUACAUAAGUAACUUACCAAGUAGUAAUUACAUAGCUAAUAGUUUCUAGCUAUGUAAUUACUUGGUAAGUAUAUGUAAAAUUUUAUUUUAUAAUGUCAUUUUAGGUUUUGUCUGUGGAAUGGAAAAUAUUAAUUUUUUCAUGAAUUUUUUUAUAUUAAAAUGUAAUGAACUUGCAGCUUUACAUUAAGAUAUCUUUUAAGCAGUGAUACCCUUUAAGCUAUGAUGUCCCUUGUACCUUUGAAGUGAGUUUAGUUUUUGAUAAGUUUUGGAAACAUGAACUUUCAUCAUCUAAGGUGUAUAAGUAAAACUAUUCAUAUUUUACAUGUUCAUCAGUUAUGUGAUAUUGAAUUUGUGAACUACUAUGAUUAUUGCAUAACAUCCAUGAUAUUGUAUGAUAAAGAGCACUAUUUACUACAUUAUAUUCAUUUACUGCUGGUAUUGUACUUAAUUGUUAACAUUCCAAUGGUGUAAUACUGCUUCGUUAAUGUGUCAUUGACUGACAUUCUUUUCUACUAUAGGUGUUUUAGUGCUUAGCAUUUUUCAGUGUAAUAUACAGUUUAUGGAUUAAAGUAAAAUAUCUAUAGAUCUAUUUAGAAUGUAGCUGUUGUAUUUUAUAGUCACUAUAAUUUUUUUACUAGUAAAUGGAAUUUUUGUGGUUUGUAGCUAAGAUUACUUGUAUAAAUUAUUGUCACUGUACCUGUCGAAUUUCAUACUUGCCAUUUCUGUAAAUAAUUUUUAUAUAUGUAUAUUGUCGAUGAACUACUAGUUGUCUAGGAUAGACUACUUUGUAUGACCAUCUCCAUGAAAUAUGCAAAACUCAGUAUUGUUCAUAUUUUAUAGUAAAAUUUUAUAAAAAUUUCUACUGAUUGUUCAUGAAGAAAAAUUUUUACAUAUUUUUAUUAUGCUUUAUAAUGUGGUGUGUACAAAUGUAAGUUGUCCAUUUCGUGACUCACGUGAUUUACACAUUUUUUGGACAUUCAAAUCUACGUUUUACACUGCAUGAGAAGUAUCUUUAAAUUAGAUUCAUAAGAUCCACAUAAAAGCGAGUGUAUAAAGUAUAAACAAUCACUCUAAUCAGGAGAUUUAAAUUAUUCAGACACUUUGUAAUACUAAUUGUACAGUCAGUUUAGAAAUGAAAGUGGCCUCUAUAUGAUAGUAGAUAUGGGAAUAAAAAUCAUAGAGUAAAACUGAAAUUACUGAAAAUGAAUGGCUGAAGCAAUCACUCUUAUUUCUAAUAGAGCAUUGUAUUCAAAUUUUUGGUAACAUCAAACUGGCAAUAUGGUGCGUAAGUAUACCUAUUUUAUACCAAGAACAUCCAAAUUCUAAUGACAAGCAGUUGAAACGAGCGUUACACCACCAGAAUGCACCUCAAACAUCACUCGAUGUAUACACAAGGUGUACUUUAACCCCUCUUGUUUCCUUAUCUUUUGUAAGGGUCUAUUUUUUUGCACACUUGCAAUAAAAAAAUGUCAUAACUUGUGUGCUGUAAUGGUUUCUUGUAUCAACACAUGGUUACAGUAUUCUACAAUGCUCUAAUUUUUCAUAGUCAGUUUUUAGUAGUGUUUGAAAUAAUUCUUCAUACUUCACUUCAAAAUAGUUUCAUGUUAUGGAAACAUUAGGUGUGUAAUGUUAAGGAAACCCUCAAAUAUUUUGUACACCACAUUUAGGUGUUGAUUUCUUCGAUUCCUUUAAGUACACAGAACUCAUGUGAUCUGUAGAUUACAAAUUUAUGGUUGGAAUGCUCUUCUACAUAAUACAUACUGCAAUAUGUAAGUGAUAUUCUCUAAUAAUGUAUAUUGAAAUAAAAUUUUAUUUGUUCUA
This is a long non-coding RNA of Macrobrachium nipponense, 17190 nucleotides long. RefSeq lists it as uncharacterized. NCBI's taxonomy places the organism in Eukaryota, Metazoa, Arthropoda, Malacostraca, Decapoda, Palaemonidae. The transcript is spliced from 2 exons. The record is from RefSeq and is a predicted model, not a curated record.